This 254-nucleotide ribosomal RNA is filed under the name uncultured bacterium. RNAcentral describes it as "partial 16S ribosomal RNA". It matches the Rfam family "Bacterial small subunit ribosomal RNA", at positions 524 to 776 of the family's 1533-position model. The record is from RNAcentral.
UACGGAGGGUGCGGGCGUUGUCCGGAAUCAUUGGGCGUAAAGGGCGCGUAGGUGGCCUGUGCAAGCGUGCGGUGAAAGCUCGGGGCUCAACCCCGAGUCGGCCGUGCGAACUGCUGGGCUCGAGCACUGUAGAGGCAGGCGGAAUUCCGGGUGUAGCGGUGGAAUGCGUAGAGAUCCGGAAGAACACCGGUGGCGAAGGCGGCCUGCUGGGCAGUGGCUGACACUGAGGCGCGACAGCGUGGGGAGCAAACAGG